AUCAUUUUGGCGGAUAAACGCAUAAGGUUUAGGACUUUGAGAUGGAUUUACCAAAUGGUA
RNAcentral lists this transfer RNA (60 nucleotides) under Echiuropus macronychus. Its description in RNAcentral is "tRNA-Leu". Lineage: Eukaryota; Metazoa; Arthropoda; Malacostraca; Amphipoda; Acanthogammaridae. The record is from RNAcentral.